GACGAACGCUGGCGGCGUGCUUAACACAUGCAAGUCGAACGGUGAAGCGCCUUCCUUUUUGGUGGGUGUGGAUGAGUGGCGAACGGGUGAGUAACACGUGAGUAACCUGCCCCCUUCUUCUGGAUAACCGCAUGAAAGUGUGGCUAAUACGGGAUAUUCUGGGUCUGUCGCAUGAUGGGUCUGGGAAAGAUAUUGUUUCGGUGGGGGAUGGGCUCGCGGCCUAUCAGCUUGUUGGUGGGGUGAUGGCCUACCAAGGCGGUGACGGGUAGCCGGCCUGGGAGGGUGGACGGUCCGACAGGGACGGAGACCCGGCCCAGACUCCGACGGGAGGCAGCAGUGGAGAAUAGUGCACAAUGGGCGGAAGCCUGAUGCAGCGACGCCGCGUGAGGGAUGGAGGCCUUCGGGUUGUGAACCUCUUUCGCCAGUGAAGCAGGCCUGCCUCGUUUGUGGGUGGGUUGACGGUAGCUGGAGAAGAAGCGCCGGCUAACUACGUG
Molecule: ribosomal RNA, 494 nt
Filed under: uncultured bacterium
Lineage: Bacteria
Description: partial 16S ribosomal RNA
Rfam family: Bacterial small subunit ribosomal RNA
Source: RNAcentral